AAGAAGUUUUGUAUAUUUAAAUACCAGCUAUGAUUUCUCAGCAGUCUCUGAUGUUGCCUGUUGAAGUUCAAAUGGAUUGCUUUCCAAAACAAGAGCCCAAUUAUUCCUUUGCACAAAUGCAAGAUUUUCUAAACGUCACCUGUGAACCAAUAGAAGAACAUUUCCCUUUGAAAGAUCUCAAAGAAGUCACCUCUGCUGAUAAACACAUGGCUGAGUUGGAGGUCCUGCAAAUGCCUGAAAGCAGCUUUGCUAACAUCACCUUCAAGGAGCCAAAAUCUCCAGUUGCUUCAAGGUCUUAUGCUGAGAUGGAAUUAGACCUGCCUCUUUCACCACA
Molecule: long non-coding RNA, 334 nt
Filed under: Sinocyclocheilus anshuiensis
Lineage: Eukaryota; Metazoa; Chordata; Actinopteri; Cypriniformes; Cyprinidae
Description: lncRNA (ENSSANG00000012949.1)
Source: RNAcentral